This 253-nucleotide ribosomal RNA is filed under the name uncultured bacterium. Its description in RNAcentral is "partial 16S ribosomal RNA". It matches the Rfam family "Bacterial small subunit ribosomal RNA", at positions 524 to 776 of the family's 1533-position model. The record is from RNAcentral.
UACAGAGGGGGCAAGCGUUGUUCGGAAUUACUGGGCGUAAAGGGCGCGUAGGCGGCCCGCUAAGUCGAACGUGAAAUCCCUGGGCUCAACCCAGGAACUGCGUCCGAUACUGGCAGGCUUGAAUCCGGGAGAGGGAUGUGGAAUUCCUGGUGUAGCGGUGAAAUGCGCAGAUAUCAGGAGGAACACCGAUUGCGAAGGCAGCUCGCUGGGACGUAACUGACGCUGAGACGCGAAAGCGUGGGGAGCAAACAGG